GGGGUCCUUCGGGACUUAGUGGCGGACGGGUGAGUAACGCGUGAGGAUCUGGCUUCAGGACGGGGAUAACAUUGGGAAACUGAUGCUAAUACCCGAUAUGGCGAGAGCUGAAAGAUUAAUUGCCUGAAGAUGAACUCGCGUCCGAUUAGCUAGUUGGAGUGGUAAAGGCMCCCCCARGGCGAUGAUCGGUAGCUGGUCUGAGAGGAUGAUCAGCCACACUGGGACUGAGACACGGCCCAGACUCCUACGGGAGGCAGCAGUGGGGAAUUUUCCGCAAUGGGCGAAAGCCUGACGGAGCAAUACCGCGUGCGGGAGGACGGCCUUUGGGUUGUAAACCGCUUUUCUCAGGGAAGAAGAUCUGACGGUACCUGAGGAAUCAGCAUCGGCUAACUCCGUGCCAGCAGCCGCGGUAAUACGGAGGAUGCAAGCGUUAUCCGGAAUUAUUGGGCGUAAAGCGUCCGCAGGUGGUUGGUCAAGUCUGCUGUCAAAGCGUGGAGCUUAACUCCAUAAGGGCGGUGGAAACUGAUUAACUAGAGGAUGGUAGGGGUCACGGGAAUUCCCAGUGUAGCGGUGAAAUGCGUAGAUAUUGGGAAGAACACCAGCGGCGAAAGCGCGUGACUGGGCCAUUACUGACACUCAUGGACGAAAGCUAGGGGAGCGAAAGGGAUUAGAUACCCCUGUAGUCCUAGCUGUAAACGAUGGACACUAGGUGUUGCCCGUAUCGACCCGGGCAGUGCCGUAGCCAACGCGUUAAGUGUCCCGCCUGGGGAGUACGCACGCAAGUGUGAAACUCAAAGGAAUUGACGGGGGCCCGCACAAGCGGUGGAGUAUGUGGUUUAAUUCGAUGCAACGCGAAGAACCUUACCAGGGUUUGACAUCCUUCGAAUCCUUGGGAAACCGAGGAGUGCCUUCGGGAGCGAAGAGACAGGUGGUGCAUGGCYGUCGUCAGCUCGUGUCGYGAGAUGUUGGGUUAAGUCCC
Molecule: ribosomal RNA, 979 nt
Filed under: Protolyngbya sp. ITD-01
Lineage: Bacteria; Bacillati; Cyanobacteriota; Cyanophyceae; Oscillatoriales
Description: bacterial SSU rRNA
Rfam family: Bacterial small subunit ribosomal RNA
Source: RNAcentral